Molecule: ribosomal RNA, 1320 nt
Filed under: unidentified marine bacterioplankton
Lineage: Bacteria
Also listed under: 1 other name
Description: bacterial SSU rRNA
Rfam family: Bacterial small subunit ribosomal RNA
Source: RNAcentral
AGAGUUUGAUCAUGGCUCAGAACGUACGCUGGCGGCACGCCUAAUACAUGCAAGUCGAACGAAGUAGCAAUACUUAGUGGCAGACGGGUGAGUAACAUGUAGGUAUCUUCCCAUUGGUGAGGAAUAACACGAGGAAACUUGUGCUAAUACCUCAUAAGUCUUUACGGAGAAAGCUUUAUGCGCCGAUGGAUGAGCCUGCACUUGAUUAGUUUGUUGGUAGGGUAAUGGCCUACCAAGACAAUGAUCAAUAGCUGAUUUGAGAGGACGAUCAGCCACAUUGGGACUGAGACACGGCCCAAACUCCUACGGGAGGCAGCAGUAGGGAAUCUUGCACAAUGGGGGAAACCCUGAUGCAGCGAUGCCGCGUGAGUGAAGAAGGCCUUUGGGUUGUAAAGCUCUUUCGUCGGGGAAGAAAAUGACUGUACCCGAAUAAGAAGGUCCGGCUAACUUCGUGCCAGCAGCCGCGGUAAUACGAAGGGACCUAGCGUAGUUCGGAAUUACUGGGCUUAAAGAGUUCGUAGGUGGUUAAAAAAGUUGGUGGUGAAAUCCCAGAGCUUAACUCUGGAACUGCCAUCAAAACUUUUUAGCUAGAGUAUGAUAGAGGAAAGCAGAAUUUCUAGUGUAGAGGUGAAAUUCGUAGAUAUUAGAAAGAAUACCAAUUGCGAAGGCAGCUUUCUGGAUCAUUACUGACACUGAGGAACGAAAGCAUGGGUAGCGAAGAGGAUUAGAUACCCUCGUAGUCCAUGCCGUAAACGAUGUGUGUUAGACGUUGGAAAUUUAUUUUCUGUGUCGCAGCGAAAGCAAUAAACACACCGCCUGGGGAGUACGACCGCAAGGUUAAAACUCAAAUGAAUUGACGGGGACCCGCACAAGUAGUGGAGCAUGUGGUUUAAUUCGAAGAUACGCGCAGAACCUUACCAACACUUGACAUGUUCGUCGCGACUUUAAGAGAUUAAAGUUUUCGGUUCGGCCGGACGAAACACAGGUGCUGCAUGGCUGUCGUCAGCUCGUGUCGUGAGAUGUUGGGUUAAGUCCCGCAACGAGCGCAACCCUCACUUUUAGUUGCCAUCAUUAAGUUGGGCACUCUGAAAGAACUGCCAGUGAUAAGCUGGAGGAAGGUGGGGAUGACGUCAAGUCCUCAUGGCCCUUACGUGUUGGGCUACACACGUGCUACAAUGGCAUUUACAAUAGGAAGCAAGACGGCGACGUUUAGCAAAUCCUAAAAAAGUGCCUCAGUUCGGAUUGUACUCUGCAACUCGAGUACAUGAAGCUGGAAUUACUAGUAAUCGCGGAUCAGCGCGCCGCGGUGAAUACGUUCCC